RNAcentral lists this unclassified non-coding RNA (158 nucleotides) under uncultured Hymenoscyphus. Its description in RNAcentral is "sequence contains ITS1". The record is from RNAcentral. Lineage: Eukaryota; Fungi; Ascomycota; Leotiomycetes; Helotiales; Helotiaceae.
CAGUGUUCCUGCCCUCACGGGUAGAAGCCCCCACCCUUGUAUAUUCUAUCUUGUUGCUUUGGCAGGCCGCCUUGGGGCACCGGCUCGCGCCGGCUCGUGCCUGCCAGAGGACCCCAAAUUCUAAAUGUUAGUGUCGUCUGAGUAUUAUAUAAUAGUUA